RNAcentral lists this transfer RNA (67 nucleotides) under Marmota monax (woodchuck). RNAcentral describes it as "tRNA.Ala". The record is from RNAcentral. Lineage: Eukaryota; Metazoa; Chordata; Mammalia; Rodentia; Sciuridae.
GGUUGUGGCUCAGUGACAGAGUGCUUGCCUAGCAUGUGUGAGGCCCUUGGUUCGAUUCUCAGCACCA